GUCGAACGCUGGCGGCGUGCCUAAUACAUGCAAGUAGAACGCAGUUUCGCACGGGUGAGUAACGCGUCUGUAACUUCCUCAUAGCGGGGGGUAACUAUUGGAAACGAUAGCUAAUAACCCAUACUGUGAGCUGGACCUGCGUUGUAUUAGCUAGUUGGUGAGGCAAAGGCUCACCAAGGCGACGAUCCAUAGCCUACCUGAGAGGGAGAACGGCCACACUGGGACUGAGACAAGGCCCAGACUCCUACGGGAGGCAGCAGGAGGGAAUCUUCGGCAAAUGAGGGAAGUCCGACCGAGCAACGCCGCGUGAGGGAAGAAGGGUUUCGGAUUGUAAAGCUCUGUUGUGAGAGAAGCGGUAACUAACGAGAAAGGGACGGCUAACUACGUGCCAGCAGCCGCGGUAAUUC
This 407-nucleotide ribosomal RNA is filed under the name uncultured bacterium. RNAcentral describes it as "partial 16S ribosomal RNA". It matches the Rfam family "Bacterial small subunit ribosomal RNA", at positions 28 to 526 of the family's 1533-position model. The record is from RNAcentral.